CGUCACACGAGGUCGCCGCUCCCUUGCUCACUGAACUCGUCGUUCGAAAACUUCAAAGAGCAUGCUUAAAGAAUCCUGUUAAGCUCUAUGGUUGGAGCUCUUUUCUCGUGGGCUUGUUUUUUGUAUGCCCAUUUAUUCUUUCAUUUUUGUUCAAUAAGAAGUUUUUGUUUAGAGGAAAGUUUGUAAACUUCACAAAGAUCAUGUCUGAGAGCACAGAAGCGUCAAAGAAGGAAGCAGCAUUUGCCUUGGCCGCACUCAUGGAAAUUCCAUUUCAAUACAGAGCUACCCUCUCCUUGCCAAAUUCUAAGAGAGAAUCUGUAUAUGGAAAAAGUGCGGGGCCACUUCCUCCUCCUCCUGAAGUCAUCAAUUAUGACAAUGCAGUUGCAAACCAAAUUUUGGAGAAUGCAAAAGCUGAAAAACAUAGUUCCUCAUCUGAAUCGGAACAACUAUGUGAAAGAGACCAGGCUAUUCGCAAACUGGAAAGGAAAAUAGAAGAUAUAGAUAGGGAAUUGCAAUCAAUUAAAUUAGACAACGAAGCGAAUGAUCUUCUGCGGGAACAAGAAAAAGAAAUAGCAACUUACCGGUUAUAUAUGAGGUGCAACACGGAAGGGAACCCUUUGAUGUUGAAUUAUAUUCAAUUACAAUUAAUGGGAAUCCAGAUAAUGAUAUUUUGCAACCGCGACACAAUGAUAUUGCUAGACAAAGAGAGGAUCUUCAACAGAUGGAGAUUGAACUCAGAGCACAAGUUAUUGCAAGAUUAGUAAUAUUGGAAAUGCAAAAGAGUUUUGAUGUCAAAUGAAAGAACACAAUAAUGCUGCCAUCAAGAUGGACAACUAUGUGAAAGAGACCAGGCUAUUCCCGAACUGGAAAGGAAAAUAUAAGAUAAAGAUAGGGAAUUGCAAUCAAUUAAAUUAGACAAUGCAGGGCUUGGGCCAAGGAUGAUCUUCUGCGGGAACAAGAUAAAGAAAUAGCAACUUACGGAUUACAUUUUUUGUUGAUGUCCUUCAAAUUUUCCCUUCUUUUGCCAUUGAUUUUACUUUUUGCUUACACUAACAUCCUAAGACAUUCUUUCGUAUUUUAAUUUUAUUGUAGCACAUUAUAUUCAAUUCUCAUUUUUCUUGGCUAUGAUGUAAAUGGUGUUUCUUCUAUUA
This is a long non-coding RNA of Cucumis sativus (cucumber), 1151 nucleotides long. RefSeq lists it as uncharacterized. NCBI's taxonomy places the organism in Eukaryota, Viridiplantae, Streptophyta, Magnoliopsida, Cucurbitales, Cucurbitaceae. The transcript has 10 exons. The record is from RefSeq and is a predicted model, not a curated record.